GAAGCUGUGAAAAUGGGAAUGGCGAGCUCUCUAUGGAGGAAAUGCGCAGAUUGCCUGUACGCCAAGUGGGAGAGGACGAUUCUUUGGGAUAUGAUAAAGCCAUACAAGAGGAUACCCAAGUUGUCUACUCCUCUUGUUACUAUUUAUAUAGCUGUUUUCUACAUGGGGGUCAUUGGCUCUGCAAUUACUGAGUAACUCUACAAGGAGAAGUACUGGGAAGAUCAUCCCAGUGAAGCAGUGCUUCUCAAGAAGCCAAAAUUCUACUAUGGCCCUUGGAAGGUGCUUAGAGGGGAGGCUCUGCCACCCAGUCAGUGAAAACCACAACAAUUUUAUUUGUUUUCAGUUACUUCCAAUUUGUUUUUUGUUUCUUUUUUGUAUAUGUCACAGGCUCCAUAGAUUUUAGCAAACAAGGAUUUCCCACUGCUUGAAAAUAAAUAUAUGGAGCAUACAU
This 451-nucleotide unclassified non-coding RNA is filed under the name Hevea brasiliensis (rubber tree). The record is from RNAcentral. Lineage: Eukaryota; Viridiplantae; Streptophyta; Magnoliopsida; Malpighiales; Euphorbiaceae.